GUUCCACGUCCGUGGGACAGAAAAUUUUAACAUUUUAGGACAAAAAUGCUCCUUAUCUUUUUCAAAAUUUACAACAUCAAAAUCAUAUAACAAACCCUAAAAACUAUUUCUCUUCUUCUCAGCCGCUGACCCUCUUCACCCCAUCUCUCCCCUUCGCAACCUUCCUCCUCAUCUUCUUCUCAGCCACUGACUUUCUUGCACUGGGUUCCUCGUUGGCAGUCUCCGCUGAUGCGAUAAUCAAUGGAAAAACGUCCGCACCUUUGAAGAGAGAGAGAGAGAGAGAGAGAGCAAUUGAAGGAAAAUUCUUGUCAGAGAAAAACCCAUUUCUCUGCAGUCCACCAAAAGCACUUCUCCGCUGAAGCUUCACCUUUCUGCUGAUUUUCAGCUUUCCGUUACUGUUUCUUCCGAGCACUCUUAAAGCGUCAAGGGGCUAAUGUGAAGGGUCUGUUGAAAGCUGAUCCUGUAAAAGAAGAACCUCAACUAUACAUUGAUUGCACAGGAAACUUGCAGGUGCUGUAUAUCUGUAUUUAUUGCACUUUUUGUUGUUUCUCAUAUUUUUCUGGUUCCUUUUUGGUAACCAUUCUUAUGUAGCAGUGGUAGUACUUGUUUGUUAAUUCAACUCUUUCUGGAAAUGUUUCCUUUGAACCAAGAACCUCUUUUGUUAACACAAACUCCACAAAGCUGGUUGACUGUACUCUUUUUGUCUUUCUUUUCAAAAUUGUUAAAAAGGAAGACAUAAAAGUUGUCUAUGUAUAUGAGGAAGCUAUAAAAGAAGAAGGCUUCAGAAUCAAUUCAUAAAUUGUAUGGACAUACCACUAACUUGGUUAGAAAGUCCAAUAUUUAGUUUUGAAUUCUAACUAUAAAACUAGGGGUUGUAACAUUCUACAAGAACCAUCUCUGACUCAUCACAAAUAAGGUCUCAGAGAAACAUGAACAUUCAUUUGGAAAUUCUAUGUUUUGCUUUUGUUGUAGUUCCAUAUUACUGUUGCUAUAUUUAUUCAUUAUUUAGAAAUGCUUUUUAGGUUUUGAGAAGUGAGCUAGAUAUGUGAAUAUAAACCUCAUGUCAACUUUUUUGUUAUGCAAUCAUUAUCUUAUUUGUUCUCUGUGUAAGAUCUUAUUUGUUCUCAAAAACUUAAAGGUUUGUUAUCUAUAACAUGCUUAUCAAGAGUCAACCAAAGAAAAGCAACGUGCUCAAAUUGCUCAAGGUUUCACUCGAUCAUUAAACUUAUAUAUUCAUUGCUGUUAGAUGGAUCAACGUUUGAAGAGAUUGCUAGGGCAAAGUUCCCCUAUGGUCCUCCAUAUGGACUACAUGGAUACUGGUUCCCUCCAAAUAAUCAUAGAAAUGAUGAACUAGCCAGUAACAAUGUGACAAAAUAUAUGUUCAUAUUUCUUUUCGUUUUAAGUGAGCGUUGCGAGUUAUAAACUAUAUAUAUAUAUAUUUUUUUUUUCUUUUUGUUAAACAUGUACUAUACAUAUUUGUCCCAUAAUUUGAAAGCUCAAUCAAUAUUUUUUUUAAACUGAU
Molecule: non-coding RNA, 1522 nt
Organism: Malus domestica (apple)
Lineage: Eukaryota; Viridiplantae; Streptophyta; Magnoliopsida; Rosales; Rosaceae
Source: RefSeq, a predicted model, not a curated record